UACGUAGGGGGCAAGCGUUGUCCGGAUUCAUUGGGCGUAAAGAGCGUGUAGGCGGCCAGGUAGGUCGGUUGUGAAAACUGGAGGCUCAACCUUCAGAGGUCGACCGAAACCAUCUGGCUAGAGUCCGGGAGAGGAGAGUGGAAUUCCUGGUGUAGCGGUGAAAUGCGCAGAUAUCAGGAGGAACACCGGUGGCGAAGGCGGCUUCCUGGACCGACACUGACGCUGAGGCGCGAAAGCUAGGGGAGCAAACGGG
Molecule: ribosomal RNA, 253 nt
Filed under: uncultured bacterium
Lineage: Bacteria
Description: partial 16S ribosomal RNA
Rfam family: Bacterial small subunit ribosomal RNA
Source: RNAcentral